This 680-nucleotide ribosomal RNA is filed under the name uncultured bacterium. RNAcentral describes it as "SSU rRNA". It matches the Rfam family "Bacterial small subunit ribosomal RNA", at positions 245 to 915 of the family's 1533-position model. The record is from RNAcentral.
UUAGUUGGUGGGGUAAUGGCCUACCAAGACGAUGAUCAGUAGCUGGUCUGAGAGGAUGAUCAGCCACACUGGAACUGAAACACGGUCCAGACUCCUACGGGAGGCAGCAGUGGGGAAUCUUGCGCAAUGGACGAAAGUCUGACGCAGCCACGCCGCGUGAGUGAAGAAGGCCUUCGGGUUGUAAAGCUCUGUCACCUGGGACGAAAACACUGACGGUUAAUAGCCGUCGGAAUUGACGGUACCAGGGGAGGAAGCACCGGCUAACUUCGUGCCAGCAGCCGCGGUAAUACGAAGGGUGCAAGCGUUGCUCGGAAUUAUUGGGCGUAAAGGGUUGGUAGGUGGUCUUGUUUGUCUAAGGUGAAAUCCCAGGGCUUAACCCUGGAAGUGCCUUAGAAACGGCAAGACUAGAGUCCUAGAGGGGUUUGUGGAAUUCCCGGUGUAGCGGUGAAAUGCGUAGAGAUCGGGAGGAACACCAGCGGCGAAGGCGGCAAACUGGAUAGGCACUGACACUCAACAACGAAAGCGUGGGGAGCAAACAGGAUUAGAUACCCUGGUAGUCCACGCUGUAAACGAUGGGUACUAGGCUUUGUGGGAAUAGACCCCUGCAGAGCCGGAGCUAACGCAAUAAGUACCCCGCCUGGGAAGUACGGUCGCAAGACUAAAACUCAAAGGAAUUGACG